GCCCCCAUAGCUCAGAGGAUAGAGCGGUUGCUUCCUAAGCUGCGUCUGCGCAGGUUCGAAUCCUGCUGGGGGUG
RNAcentral lists this transfer RNA (74 nucleotides) under Rhodopirellula sp. TMED11. RNAcentral's name for it is "tRNA-Arg". It matches the Rfam family "tRNA". From Rfam's summary of the family: Transfer RNA (tRNA) molecules are approximately 80 nucleotides in length. Lineage: Bacteria; Pseudomonadati; Planctomycetota; Planctomycetia; Pirellulales; Pirellulaceae. RNAcentral also lists the same sequence under 1 other name. The record is from RNAcentral.